Molecule: long non-coding RNA, 215 nt
Filed under: Elaeis guineensis (African oil palm)
Lineage: Eukaryota; Viridiplantae; Streptophyta; Magnoliopsida; Arecales; Arecaceae
Description: long non-coding RNA (EGUI_LNC028687)
Source: RNAcentral
UCAUGGGGAGUCUUCUUUUUUAUUUUGUGAUGAAAUACUAUUAAAAAUAAAAAUAGAGUCAAAAAAAUUUCUUUCCAUAAGUUUUCUGAAAUAUCAAAACUUAUGAUCAUGGCGUUAGCUAUCUCUAAUAGAGUUCUAUUUUUUUGUUCAACAAUACCACUAUAUUGAGGAGAGUCAAGAGUAGUUACUUCAUGAAUUAUACCAUAAUCUUGAUA